RNAcentral lists this ribosomal RNA (617 nucleotides) under uncultured Burkholderia sp. RNAcentral describes it as "bacterial SSU rRNA". It matches the Rfam family "Bacterial small subunit ribosomal RNA", at positions 56 to 666 of the family's 1533-position model. Lineage: Bacteria; Pseudomonadati; Pseudomonadota; Betaproteobacteria; Burkholderiales; Burkholderiaceae. The record is from RNAcentral.
UGCAAGUCGAACGGCAGCACGGGGGCAACCCUGGUGGCGAGUGGCGAACGGGUGAGUAAUACAUCGGAACGUGUCCUGUAGUGGGGGAUAGCCCGGCGAAAGCCGGAUUAAUACCGCAUACGCUCUACGGAGGAAAGGGGGGGAUCUCAGGACCUCCCGCUACAGGGGCGGCCGAUGGCAGAUUAGCUAGUUGGUGGGGUAAAGGCCUACCAAGGCGACGAUCUGUAGCUGGUCUGAGAGGACGACCAGCCACACUGGGACUGAGACACGGCCCAGACUCCUACGGGAGGCAGCAGUGGGGAAUUUUGGACAAUGGGCGAAAGCCUGAUCCAGCAAUGCCGCGUGUGUGAAGAAGGCCUUCGGGUUGUAAAGCACUUUUGUCCGGAAAGAAAACCUCCGCCCUAAUAUGGUGGGGGGAUGACGGUACCGGAAGAAUAAGCACCGGCUAACUACGUGCCAGCAGCCGCGGUAAUACGUAGGGUGCAAGCGUUAAUCGGAAUUACUGGGCGUAAAGCGUGCGCAGGCGGUCCGCUAAAACAGAUGUGAAAUCCCCGGGCUUAACCUGGGAACUGCAUUUGUGACUAUGGCGGUCUAGAGUAUGGCAGAGGGGGGUAGAA